AACGAACGCUGGCGGCAGGCUUAACACAUGCAAGUCGAGCGCCCCGCAAGGGGAGCGGCAGACGGGUGAGUAACGCGUGGGAACGUACCUUUUGGUUCGGAACAACUCCGGGAAACUGGAGCUAAUACCGGAUAAGCACUAACGGGGAAAGAUUUAUCGCCGAAAGAUCGGCCCGCGUCUGAUUAGCUAGUUGGUGAGGUAACGGCUCACCAAGGCGACGAUCAGUAGCUGGUCUGAGAGGAUGAUCAGCCACACUGGGACUGAGACACGGCCCAGACUCCUACGGGAGGCAGCAGUGGGGAAUAUUGGACAAUGGGCGCAAGCCUGAUCCAGCCAUGCCGCGUGAGUGAUGAAGGCCUUAGGGUUGUAAAGCUCUUUUGUCCGGGAAGAUAAUGACUGUACCGGAAGAAUAAGCCCCGGCUAACUUCGUG
This 431-nucleotide ribosomal RNA is filed under the name uncultured bacterium. RNAcentral's name for it is "partial 16S ribosomal RNA". It matches the Rfam family "Bacterial small subunit ribosomal RNA", at positions 29 to 507 of the family's 1533-position model. The record is from RNAcentral.